ACGCACGCUGGCGGCGUGCUUAACACAUGCAAGUCGAACGGUAAGGCCCCUUCGGGGGUACACGAGUGGCGAACGGGUGAGUAACACGUGAGCAACCUGCCCUUGACUCUGGAAUAACAGUUGGAAACAGCUGCUAAUACUGGAUAUUCAUCGUCUCCUUCCUGGGGGGUGGUGGAAAGCUCCGGCGGUCAGGGAUGGGCUCGCGGCCUAUCAGCUUGUUGGUGAGGUAAUGGCUCACCAAGGCUUCGACGGGUAGCCGGCCUGAGAGGGCGACCGGCCACACUGGGACUGAGAUACGGCCCAGACUCCUACGGGAGGCAGCAGUGGGGAAUAUUGCACAAUGGGCGCAAGCCUGAUGCAGCAACGCCGCGUGCGGGAUGACGGCCUUCGGGUUGUAAACCGCUUUCAGUAGGGACGAAGGGUGACUGACGGUACCUACAGAAGAAGGACCGGCUAACUACGUG
This 464-nucleotide ribosomal RNA is filed under the name uncultured bacterium. Its description in RNAcentral is "partial 16S ribosomal RNA". It matches the Rfam family "Bacterial small subunit ribosomal RNA", at positions 29 to 507 of the family's 1533-position model. The record is from RNAcentral.